AACGCGAAGAACCUUACCUGGUCUUGACAUCCCAGGAACCCUAUAGAGAUAUGGGGGUGCCUUCGGGAACCUGGAGACAGGUGCUGCAUGGCUGUCGUCAGCUCGUGUCGUGAGAUGUUGGGUUAAGUCCCGCAACGAGCGCAACCCUUAUCAUUAGUUGCCAACACGUAAGGUGGGGACUCUAAUGAGACUGCCUAGGUUAACUAGGAGGAAGGCGAGGAUGACGUCAAGUCCGCAUGGCCUUUAUGUCCAGGGCUACACACGUGCUACAAUGGUCGGUACAGAGGGCUGCAAGACCGUAAGGUGGAGCAAAUCCCAGAAAGCCGAUCUCAGUUCAGAUUGUGGACUGCAACUCGUCCACAUGAAGUCGGAAUUGCUAGUAAUGGCGCGUCAGCAACAGCGCCGUGAAUACGUUCCCGGGCCUUGUACACACCGGUACUA
Molecule: ribosomal RNA, 441 nt
Filed under: uncultured bacterium
Lineage: Bacteria
Description: bacterial SSU rRNA
Rfam family: Bacterial small subunit ribosomal RNA
Source: RNAcentral